UCUUCAAAGAUUGAAUUUUCC
Molecule: non-coding RNA, 21 nt
Filed under: Caenorhabditis elegans
Lineage: Eukaryota; Metazoa; Nematoda; Chromadorea; Rhabditida; Rhabditidae
Source: RNAcentral